UACGUAGGGUGCAAGCGUUGUCCGGAAUUAUUGGGCGUAAAGAGCUCGUAGGCGGUUUGUCGCGUCUGCUGUGAAAACGCGAGGCUCAACCUCGCGCCUGCAGUGGGUACGGGCAGACUAGAGUGCGGUAGGGGAGAUUGGAAUUCCUGGUGUAGCGGUGGAAUGCGCAGAUAUCAGGAGGAACACCAAUGGCGAAGGCAGCACUCUGGGACGGUACUGACGCUGAGACGCGAAAGCGUGGGGAGCAAACAGG
This 253-nucleotide ribosomal RNA is filed under the name uncultured bacterium. Its description in RNAcentral is "partial 16S ribosomal RNA". It matches the Rfam family "Bacterial small subunit ribosomal RNA", at positions 524 to 776 of the family's 1533-position model. The record is from RNAcentral.